Molecule: ribosomal RNA, 253 nt
Filed under: uncultured bacterium
Lineage: Bacteria
Description: partial 16S ribosomal RNA
Rfam family: Bacterial small subunit ribosomal RNA
Source: RNAcentral
UACAGAGGCCCCAAGCGUUACUGAGAAUCACUGGGUUUAAAGGGUGCGUAGGUGGCGCGUUAAGUCCGUUGUGAAAUCCCUGGGCUCAACCCAGGAAAUGCUUCGGAUACUGGCGUGCUUGAGGCUAGUAGGGGUCACUGGAACUGACGGUGGAGCGGUGAAAUGCGUAGAUAUCGUCAGGAACGCCAAUGGUGAAGACAGGUGACUGGGCUAGAUCUGACACUGAGGCACGAAAGCGUGGGGAGCGAACCGG